AUCCAACCUUCCGGUAACUCCGGUAUAGCCUUUCGAAAGAAAGAUUAAUCCCGGAUAGUAUGGUGAUUCCGCAUGGUUUUUCCAUUAAAGGAUUCCGGUUACCGAUGGGGAUGCGUUCCAUUAGGCAGUUGGCGGGGUAACGGCCCACCAAACCUACGAUGGAUAGGGGUUCUGAGAGGAAGGUCCCCCACAUUGGAACUGAGACACGGUCCAAACUCCUACGGGAGGCAGCAGUGAGGAAUAUUGGUCAAUGGGCGGAAGCCUGAACCAGCCAAGUAGCGUGAAGGAUGACUGCCCUAUGGGUUGUAAACUUCUUUUAUAAGGGAAUAAUUGCGGGUACGCGUACCCGUUUGCAUGUACCUUAUGAAUAAAGAUCGGCUAACUCCGUGCCAGCAGCCGCGGUAAUACGGAAGAUCCGAGCGGUAUCCGGAUUUAUUGGGUUUAAAGGGAGCGUAAGCCGGCGCUUAAGUCAGCUGUGAAAGUUUGGGGCUCAACCUUAAAAUUGCAGUUGAUACUGGGUGCCUUGAGUGC
Molecule: ribosomal RNA, 531 nt
Filed under: uncultured Prevotella sp.
Lineage: Bacteria; Pseudomonadati; Bacteroidota; Bacteroidia; Bacteroidales; Prevotellaceae
Description: bacterial SSU rRNA
Rfam family: Bacterial small subunit ribosomal RNA
Source: RNAcentral